UUAUUCUUACUUCCUUGACUUUGAGUGUAAUAAGUACUCCCCUUUGUUUCUCCUACUAGGUUUCGAGGAAGGCAGGAUAGAUAAGCUAGGAUUAGAUGUGUCAUUUAGUCGAAGAGGGUAAGAUAUUGCCUUUAUGCCUGCGCUUUCAGCAAUACAGGUGCUUCCUUGCCUCCCUUUCCGUUUCCUAAGGACUGCCAGCUUUCUUGUUUGUGAUUUCCUUUUCUUAAGUAGUAGACUGAGUCAGAGGAGGAAGUCGUUGGGUGGAGAGGUCCGGUCUCUAGCGUCCUAUCUUAUGUCCGAAUUCUUUCUCUCUGUUAAUUGUCCUCUCGUCCAGUUGCUCAAGAUAGAUAAGCAAGGAGAACUUUGAUUCAGGUAACUCUAUGUUGCUCCGGUUAGUUCUGUUCUGUAAUCAACUACCUGGGUAAAGUAGCUCCUGUCGGUUUAGAGCAAGCAAAGAAAGCUCAGAAUAGAUUAGAUCGAUCAAGACUAGUAGUUAGUUGUUCCUACUUACCUGACUUGCUAGUAGGAAGCGAUGCUAUGGAACCAACCUAAUCCACUCUCGUGACCAUGAUCGAAGAUCAAUCCGGGGAAAGAGAUGAGCUUAUAUAUGAAAAGCUACCCGUAUUUACACAUACGAGGAAUCACUCACUAACGGACAAGAGAGCGACAAAUGAGCUUUCAAAAGUGCAAAACGAAAGGGUUGGUAGCUUUCGGCCUUAUUGAUCCAAUCACUCUUUGAGACUACUGCUUGUGCUUGGCUCAGCAUAGCCUUCUUUUUGAAAAGCUGACUGCUCAAGUAAAGUGAGGAAAGCGAAAAGCUGACUGCUCAAGUAAAGUGAGGAAAGCCUGAUCUGAUUUGGAAUCCUUUUUCAACGCCUUCUUUCCUGAUCGAUUCUUAGGGGAAUCGUAGGCCAAAAAUGGAUUCGUCAACGGAGGAUGCCUUUCAAGGAAAAAGUAACGACACCGCAUUCCCACACUUUCUCAUCUGUUUCAUAGAGGAGUGAGGCUGGCUAAAGCACCAAAACCAAUAGUUAGUAAGAGAGCGCCAUCAGGAUAAAGAUCAAAAGGGGGGGCUCUAGAAAAGAUGCCUUGAAGAGUGAAAAUACCGUAAGCGCCCAACUUCCACACAUCGAAAUAGACAGGUGAUCCUGCACGCCUAACCUAACUUUCAUGCACGGAAUCAACUGUGAUCGAAUAAGCUUUUUUAGGUAAUGAAGCCAGGUACUGAUUUGGGAAGUAACUGAACUUACUUAAUCUCCCUUAGGGAUUCGAGGAGCAGAAGGCUUACUAAGGAAAGCUAAUGACAUUGUUAAAGAGUAGGCAGAGAAUGUGCUGUUGUCGCAUGAAUAGGAAUAGGUUGUUCAAGAAUAAUUGUAAGACUCGCAAUUGAAUCAACUUCUCUUUCAUUCCUAAACGCUGCAAAAGAAAGACGUAACCGGUGUUCCACUUAUAAGGUUAACUGCUCUCGGAGUCCUAGCCGCUCUUGGCACUGAUUCCUUUCAAGUUAUGCCCUUAUGCCCGAUCCAAAUAUGCAGGGAGGUUUUCCUCGAAGAGAAGCUCUAAUAGUAGUAUGCGGACUCAUACUCAUCCCAGUGAGAGUGCAGGAAUAUAAUAAGAUGCUCUUUCAUCUCUUUGCAAUAGAUUGUGUUCAAAUAGCCUGGGCUCAGCUCCUGCCGUGCAACGACUGACGCACAAUAGAAAUCAAUUAUGUUGUUUUGAUUAUUUAUGUUGUGCUUUAGUGUCUUCUUGUCGUCUUGUCUGCUUGCCCCCGUCUUUGCAAUAGAAUGACUAACUGCUCUUGCUGCUAUUUCAUCAUCUGUGGCACUGACUUUAGGAAUCCCAGGGGCGGUGCCUAGCCUUUGCACAUGAAGGCCUUCUUCUCUAGCCUGAUGCGGGCGAUUCGAGUCAUCGAGAUAAUAGAAGUGAAUACCAUACAAUUGACUUGACUUGAAAUAUACUAUAUUGUGUUUUUAUAUACAAAUAGGUUUCUUUAACAGGAAGUGAGAGUGAGUGUCACGCGGAGUUACGCUUUGGUUAGGCUUGACUUGAUGAUGGGUUACAUAUAGAAGGGCUUAGUUAGCUAUGGAAUCAGAAGCAACUCCGGGCAGAUGGGAUGCCCCAAAAUAAGGCUUAUGCAACUCGAGCCCAGGCUUACUUGGCUUACUUGGCGCUCCAGAGACCAAAUCCUUUGUUUACCACUAGAAUUAGUAAGUUCAUUCUUUGACCGCAAUCCGAUCCUAUAGACUCAAUGAUUUUCAGGACUUGGUCAAACAACUAAGCUUGGUCUUACUACGUAGCUUGGCUCCUCAUCCUAUCUUCUCUAUCUAGCUCCCCUGAUCAUUCGUAUAAGUCUGGAGUAAAGAUGAUUCUUCUCUCUCUUUAAUAACCUAAUAAUAGAAUGGAUUAUUCCCUCCUUGGCUCUCAUUGAUUGUUUUUGCAAUACCCGACCCGACCGAAACAAAUACUUCUUUUAUAUCUCUAGCUCAUAUACUUAUCCGUAGUCAACUAAAUCCAUUCCCACUUUCACUACUUAGUUCAAUAGAAUUCAACUCACUCACCAAAACUUGAUAGCAAAGAUCUUAUUGCCCCAAUUCCCCUUAGUACUGAGUCUAGCUCCUGUACUUCUGGCUACAACUACUUAUGAAACUACGAAACUACGAGUUUGGGCUGUAACCCAGGGCUACUACUACUGUACUGGCACCCGAAACUAUACUUGAAACUAUACUUUCUACUGGCUCUUCUCUAACUGCUGACCUUGCAGACCUCGACUCAAGUCCUUUCUUUGUAGUUGUCGACUUCACUACUUCCCGCCUCAAAGCCUUAUACUUACUAGUGAGAUUCUCAAAUUCCAUUACUAGAUGCGCUUACUGCCGCUACGCAUUAGUGGUUACUUGUCUGGGCAUAACCAGUGUAUUUACUCGGUUCUCUACCAAAAGUGGAAACAGAUUCUUCACCGGAACCUCUCUCGUCGACAACACAAUCAUAAACUUCAACUCAAGCUAGAGGAUACCAGGGCAAAGGGCUGUAAACCCAGAUUGUAUGAAUUGCCUUCCCCUCUUUGCCUUUAGAACGGGAACUGGUGAUUCGAUUCUCUUUCUUACUUAACAGCUUCCCUGGCCUACCUCUGCUCUGUCAACAAUACCUUCAUUCUGACUUUCACUUAUGGGCAUGCGAAACAAUAAAGUUCGAAUUUAGCUCCUUCUCGCCAACCCCAGUGCAACUCAUAAGUAAGAAGGAUACAACUACUAAUAAGAGUAAGAAGGAAACAAGCAUGACUUGAAACCCACAUAUUGUGCAGAAGACUUAGAAUUCCACUCAGUAGUAUAAGAAUGAAACCGAUACUAAUAAGAAGAAGACCGGUCCCUUUGUUUUAGUGACUGGACUCAGAGCCAAGCAACGACAUAAGACGUUGUGCGGCAGCCAUAGCCAUGAAAUAGUGAAGUUAUAUUUAGUUAGAACCGCCAAGACACUGGGCAAGUAACUACGUCAGUUACGCGGGCAGCUAUGAAUACUAUUGAUAUAGGAUUUGGAGGAUGAAACUCUACUGUCAUUGCAGCCCUUAACCGCACUGCUUCUUUCUGCUCGAGUCGACAACUAAGGUAAACAAUGACCUAUCCCCCUAUACAAGGAGCUAGAGCCAAGACUAUAAGUCCUUUCUCCACGACCGACGUAAACAACAGAGGAAACUACUGCUCUGAAAACGAAAACAGCUGACUAGGAAUAUGGCCCCGUAUCUAUACCCAGGCUAACGUAAGCUUACUUUUCUUCAGAUCAAGACUUGGAGCCAAGAACUGAUCUCACUGCUUAUGAUCCUGAUCUUUCAACUUGAACUACACUUCCUGUUAGCAUAGCACACUCUGUAAACUCCCAAUCUAUCUUCUCUGGCAACUGACACUUCUCCUCUUGCAACUAGCUACUAGCAACUACACUGGAAACUUUACCACUACACUACUAUAAGGGAUGGGCAUUUCUACUAGUUUGGGCUGGAAACCUUAACUACUCUACUGGUAUUCAACUAGCACCAGAACAGGACAACUACUUUACUUAAAGGAAGGGGCAAUAACCAUACUUUCACAGCUUACCAAGCCGACACCUCUCAUAACCAUACUUUCGAACUGGAACAAGUCAUUCCACAAGAAAUACAGAAUACAGCGGGCUCUGGCUCUUACUAGCUCAACUCUUUAACUCUAGCUUAGCUCUACUCUCUACAACUACUGGCUAAGAAUUCCACCACUAGUAAGUAAACUACCCGACCCUCCGCCAAGUAAGUAAACCACCCGACCCUAGUACGAACUCUUUGGGAGCCCUCAUUUCGCCUAGAAGUAACUACAACUACAGGUAUUCACCAACAACAAGAAAAGUACUGGCAACCGAAACUCCCCUUUCUUGACUUCCCCAUAAGACUUCUGGCUACCCUUUCUUUACUUCCCCGACUAGACCUCUGUUAUUGAUUACUUGACUAGCUGCCCUUUAGCGCUACUUACUAUGUUACUUGGCCCGAGCUCUAAGUGCUGUUUUUAUUCUGAUUACUCUUCCCCAGUAGCUGGGAAUCGGUGGUACUGGUUCCAUUCUGUCGAGUAGUGGUUGCAUUCUGGUUAGCACUAGCAUCAAGUCCGAUUAGCUCAGGUUGAAGUCUGACUGAACUGCUUAGCUGCUACGUGGGCAUGAGCACUCUGCUUGGCUCCUACUUAAGAGUAUCAUUCUGACCUAGCCCACAACUAUUGAAGAGUAUUCUCCUUUCCUUGGCACUGACUCAGAUCCAGCUACUGAUCUUAUAGAUUCAAUAAGAACAGGAUAUUCUCCACUGUAAACUGGAACAGGCCGACAAGGAGCUACUACAGCAUCAACACUGGAACCGACUCACUACAAGCAGACAGCUUUCAAGUAUGGGCAAGUACCGUAUUUUGAGUUUCAAUAUAAAUAGAAGAUGGAUUAGUUUACUCGGCGCGGAAGGGAAGAGAUAGAUCCAAUUCUGAACUUGAAGUAUGGGUUGGGUCGGGAAGCUAAGGGAUGCAACAAGAACAGAAAUCUACUUUUUACCAAAACCCGUGUUUUUUAAUAGCCAAGGGGAGCUCCUGCCGCGGUUUUAACUCGCUGACGCGACACAUUAGUAGUGUCUUGUCUAGUAGUUCCUUGGCCCGCUAAUAGAUCACCAGAUUUCAAUGAGCUUUUUCCGUUUUCCCGUGUUUUUUCAUAGCCAAGGUAAUUUCCCUCCUGGACCGAUCUAUUUCCAUGAUCUUUUCACGUUUUACCGUGAAACAACACUGCCGCGUAACAUUCUGUUCCUUGGCGGGUAGCAAUCAGAUUUCCCCUGCUAAAGGGUUCCAUUUCUCCUCUUUUUUUCAUAAACCCCGUGUUUUUUCAUAGCAAAGCUUACUUCCUCUAGCUCUUUGAACUCCAACAAAACAGGAUUUCUUUCCCACUCUUGACCUUCCCUUCCUUAACUUGGCUUUCGAACCUAGACAAUUAAGUACUACUUUCCUAGAGAAUUAGUAGAGCUAGAGCAACAACUAGAGCUAGAGCACCAACCUCUUCUCUUAGCGCCUAAGCUUGUUCUUCACUUUCUAUUAUUAAGUAAGGCAACUCCCUUUCCAUACUUUAGAACCAGAACAGGACCACUACCCGCGCCCAGUAUAAGUAAGUAAACAAGCCUAGCCUAACAAGUCAGUAAACUAAGUAAGUAAACUAAGUAAGUCAACAACACUACCCGAGUAAGUAAACAAGCCGAUCCCUAUUAACUUCUUUCAACAAGCCCAGCAGCUGGCAACCGGAAUAGCAAACAGUCAAUAUAUUCUAACUAGUUGUUCCGAGUCCUAAUUCCAAGGCGUCAGGGCCUCUAGUGUUUCCUGGCAACUACUAAAAGCACCAAUUACCCUAAGCAGAAUCGAGACCUCACCACCCGCUAUAGAACUCAAAAGGGCUGUUUUUGUCUACGUUGCUUGUAUAGUAGUUACUUGCACUUAUUAACGCAGCUUGCCUAUGAAACAUCCUGUCCCAGAGAGUGGCUUUGAACCUGUAUUGAUGUUAGGAAAAAUGCCAUAGAACAGCUGAGAAAGGCGGAGAUAGUUGAUUCACAAAGUUAUUAGUCAAUUCCAUUCAAGUUGACCAGAGAGAGAGGAUCGGUGCUUAAUCCUUUAGGGGAGAGUUCGGUGCUCUAGCUCCUUUCCUUGUAUAGGGCAGAGGUGAUUGUGUUGGUGACGCUGGCAGAAGAGGAUUGAGCUGGGCAUAAUAGAGUCAGACUUGCUUUAGUUGCUAGCCCUUACUAUUAAAGGUUAACUCCUUCUCUUACCCUGCCUUAGUAGCUUGUCGACUUGGCCCUUAGUGACUUGGCCAGCAUAUAGGGCAACUCAGUAGUGAGAGUCGGAAUUGACUAAGGAGUUACAGGCUUAAACAAGUACAACUCAGAAUAGACUAGUGAACAGAAAGACUCAAACAAACACCGAUCAGACUCAAGUCAGCUACUAAGACACCUAACAACGCGACUGAAACCAGUAACAACUAGAAUGCAACUGGCAACUAGCAGGCUGAAACAAGUGCUAACCGGAAUCGAACUACUAACAACAGGACUACAACCAGUGCCACUAAGCCUUAAAAGCACUAACUCCAAGAUUGAAACCUGUGGGAGCUAUACUGGAACCACUAACAACCCGACCCGAGUCAAAGAAUUCCACCAGCCUGGUAUAUAGAAGAUAAGAUCAAAUGCAUUCUUUGUUUUCAUAGGUGCCUUCCCGCUCUAACAGAUUGCUUUGGGUAGCCUUCUUCUCGAAUUGAAAGAGCUGGAUCGGGAUCAUAACCCCUAUUUCUAGAAGUUGAACCACCAAGCCCCUACUCAAAUGAGGCUCUCUUCUCUUUAUAUUGGUUUCGGAGCUGCUCCUGCUGAUUCUACCUUUGAUGCCAAAGGAUCAGGUACUGGCUUUGAUGCCAUAAGUUCAUGAGUUGGCGAAAGGGGUGUCGCGGGAAGGGGAAUCCUCAAGAAUUAUUGUUACCCCCCGCUCCCUAUAAUAGUGGAAAAACUGUCGUCAACUGAUUGGUCCAACAAGAAAAGAAUUAAGAGCUAGUGAGGAAGCGGGAAUCGAAGUUGUAUCAGAAGCUGGAAGUAAAGGCUUUUUAGCGAGGUGUACUAAUGAGGGUGUAGUUAGCAGAGAUGAGCCAGUACUUUCGCAGUUUCACCCUGACUUUCUUUCUUUCUUUGUCUUUGAAGACCUGAUUGAGAGGAUAGGCGGGCAACCAAGGAAAAGAGGCUAAAUCUAAAGAAUCCCAGUUUGUUAGCCAAAGGCGAGCAGUAACGCAGUGUUCGAACAAGCAAGGAAGGGGGAGGGAAUAUAUAAUCAAUCCAAAAGUGAACAAGCCGACUCUACGGAAGGAAUAUGCUUAGCGCGCAGAACUCGCUAACUCCACUGAGCUUCCAAUCAUAAAUGAGUAUUGGUGGGGUAAGGGAAGAUUAUCUCAAUGCGCGCGUCGUGGUCCAAGCAUUCAAGGCUGGUCUUGUCUUCAAGGGGAGUUUUGGUCGGGGAAUAAUAAUAAAGUGACAUUUUCGUUUUCAGAUCAAGAUCGGAGGCCUGAAUAGAAGAUGGAUCUGGAGAUAAAGCUUUAGCUGUAGAAAGGUUAAGGGCAGAAGCGUUUCGUAGAGUUCUUGUUUCAUCCUAGUCCACUUCUGAAUCCGCAGUAAGAGAAUCCGCAGUGCCCGGAAAGUAGUAUAGAAUGAGGCCGUGAUAGCCUUAAACGAUAAAGAAGCCCAACUCUAUAUCCGCGUCAACAGAUUGUGCGGGCCUACUAGACCUGGCGCUCGCUCCAAUUAGGACUUGCUACGGAAACUCAAUUAAGAAAUGACCUUUAACACCGAGAUACAGAAUGGAACUUGAAAACACCUCUAAUUACUGUAUCCGUAGUAGGAGAAGUAUCAAUAGAUGUAUAAGGAGUAGGAACAGACUCAGUGGCUAAAGUUCAAUGGAAAAGGGAAGCAGUGUAUUUCUCUUUACUUAUACCAGAAGCUCGAGAGUGAAAUUGAUAUUCAUGAGUAGCGCCCGUGGAGGGAGUCCCUUGUUUAAAGUCACGUUCGAAAGGAAUCUUCAAGUUCCGUUGAGUGGGGGUAUCUUAUCGAAUAAGUAAGUAUAGAAUCAGAGGCGAAACCAGUAGUAAGAGAAUCCGCAGUGAACUAGGGAAGUCUCCAAAAGAGGAAUCCGUUGUCGUUUUGUCAACAAGAUCAGGAUCCGUUCUCAAGUCAGCAACAGCAAAAGACUCCGCUGUAUCAGUUUCAAGAUCCGAAGCAAGCAGGAUAAGAUCUUUCUUAUGCCCCUUUGACUUUAUUCUUCCCCGAUAACUACACUUUAAACAAAUCAUUCCACUUGCUGCUGCCCUUACUUAUAUUAGGCUUGAUCAAGCAUCUAUCUAAUCUAGCUUACUUACCUAAUUCUAUAUGAUACCUAUAUCUUUCAACAAUAACUCAAAGGUAAUAACCGCUUGCUCCUUAACUCUUACUUGUCUAGCCUGUUUCCUUGUCCUUUUUUAGAGUAAUGUUUCCGGGUUCCAGAAGCAACAGCUAAAGUCAAACAAUCAUUUCUUACUGAAUUCAUUCAUAGAAUCUCAAACAAUCAUUUCUUAUCUUACUACUUCAUAUAAUAAUCUAGGAAAGUAACAGAGCAUUGCCAACUUGAUCUUAUCCUAACGCCGAAGACAGGAAUUGACCUAGAAACUCCCGAAAAUCGGAAUCUUUCUUUUGAGCGGUCAACGUAAACAAAUAAGAAAACCCACUCUCCCUGGCGCCACAGCUUAUGCUUCCGCGGAUGCUUAUGACUAAUAGCCAGUACUCUUUGGAUUCAAGUCGAACAGAACUACUUGUUGCUGACUUUGGCAGAGCUUCCUCUCUCUCUUACAAAGGGAAAAAGUCAAGUCAAACAAAGAAUUCCAAUAAGGCGUAUGAAGCACCACUUACUUAAUCUAUAAGAAAGUCACUGGUCACCUCAACUUCACUUUAAGAACAUUGUCUUUCGUCGACAACACAAGCAUCGAACCUAGCCUGCGCAGGAGCAAGAAGUCAUCAAGUGAAAGGACUGGGCGAUUAAGAACCAACCCCUACCCCUAUGUCUUGUUAAUACAAAUGCGCCCUUAACUACAAGGAAGCCUUAAAUAAGGCCUUUAUGAGUCGUUGAACAGAGGUUUCAUGGAGCUAAUGGCAAAUUACCUAUCUUGUACACUUACAGUAGUUCUAAUGCAUUCAUUAUUUGAUUAUAACCGCGGUAGGAGAGUGAUAUUUCUCUUAGCCCUAUCCUUGCUCAUACUUUCUUUUUACCUUGAGCACUACGUUACGUGGACAUUUUCUUCUCGAGUCUAUUAUUCUUCUGUAUAGUGUAGGGGGCAACAGAUUGUCCUGGUUACCGCUUUGACACCGCUGAUUCCAUGUAGGAUGACAGUCUCACUUCUACACUCGCUUCAGCAGUUUCUCAUUCCAUUCCACAAUUCUAUUCUUCCUUUUGAUAGGCCAUAUAGGGAAAAACAACACUCUUUUGCGUCGCCUAUCCUUUUGAUUCAUAAGCUUCUGUAACGGAACUCGUACUCGUACAUUUGCUUCAAUCAAAUAAUCUUUAUCGGCAGCCCGCCCUUCCUUUGCUUUUUGAAUGAAACUCGAUUGUAGUAGACCGCGCAGUUCUUAGUGUUCUAGAAAGAAUAGGUUUUGUUUAACAAUCCGUUCUCGCACCGGUAAGAUACGAGUGAGAAACCCCUAAAUGAACACUGCUGAUUCUGUUGAAACUGCUUAUGCAUAUGCUGAUGACUUAUAAACUCCUUAACGCAUUUGUUUCUUGCUUAGUUACCUUGUGUUCGAAGCAAGCCCUAGUUAUAGUUCUUUUGCCGACCUCGACUGCUUACUUUAGUCUUACAAGUCCUUUCUUCAGCCGUUUGAUGCUUACUUGCCUUGAAACCUCACAGCUUACUUGCGCCUUUACUUAAUAGCUAUUUCGGAUUAUUCUUAUGUAGAGUUGCAGACUAGGAUGACUUUCUAGUUUAGAGAAGAAGCUUUUUGAGUAUAAAGGAAAGGAAUAGUCUCAAGGUUCGGUUCAGUUCCAGGAAAGUAUCAAGAUGUUGGCGACGAGCCGAGUAGUUCAUCAAAGAAAAGAGAGUGAGAGUUUCCGUUUCGUUCGGAACUUCCAGUGCUUUUCCAGAUUCAAGUCGAGUUCAAGAAGCCCUUCCACUUGUUUGAAUUGAAAUAAAUAAGUAACAUAUGAGAUAAUAAAGUAUUCAAAAGAAAGCUUGACUCAACAAGCAACGUAGAAAGUAUAGCUUGUUCCCCAAAACUCACCUAUUACUGCUUGCUCUGCUCGGACCCUUUCAUAGAGAGAGCAUUGAUGUCGUCCACCCUUGAUUUUCUAUACGAGACUAAGAGCUGUAGUCGGGCCAUUGUGAGGGUAAACUAAUACGGACGUUGCUUGUUCGAACUCAUAACUCUGUUCGUAUACUAGGUGAGCACUUAGGCUUUCGAAACUCCACCUCCACUCAACAACGUACUCAGGCGAAAUCCAAUCUCAAAUAAAUCAAAUGUUCCAUAAUUGAGUAAAACCACUGCAUACAUAAAAUCACUACCGCUAUAGAGUAGUCGAACUCCAAGAAUAUUACUUACAUAAAGAUAAUCUCUCUAGUAUCAUGUACUCUAGUAGAAUGUAUAGAAAUUGGAACCGAACUAGCUACUCCAAUAAGCUGCUUAUGCGCCCUAUCUUCUUAUUCUUUCUGUUCUGCUACCCCCCAUUUGAAUAAAACGAAAUCUCACUGACAACAUCUAUAAGCGCUAUACCAUACUGCGAAACUUCCAUCACCUAUUACAGCUGGCUCUAAAUCAGAGGCACAUCCCCAAUAAUAGAAUGGAGUCAAAACCCUGUUGACAUCUUACAUAGCAAAACCUCACUGCAUGUUUCUGGCGCCGUUCAUCUGUUUAGUGAGUAAAGCAUUAAACAUAAACCAAUGUAGGGGUGGGUAGGGAGAGUGUGAAGUCCCCAAAGUAUUGAGAAUGAAAUCCUUUAUAUAGUAUAGAAAUAAGUCCCCAAGGUAUUGAUAAUGAAAUCCAGAAAGAGAAUGAAAUCCUUUAUAUAGUAUAGAAUAUUCAAGUAAACAAACAGAACAAGAAGAGGAAGAGAAUUGAGGCCUUGUUGGUCCCGAUUAGGAUUGUGAAUUGAGUGAGGCCUUGCUCCAGCGAAUUACUAACAACUAGUGGCUUGUUCCCUGCAACUCUAUGAGAUCUAUGAUCCUCCAAAGGUAUAAGGCCCCUUCCAAUAAUCAGCGGUAGCAAGAUUGGACUGAGGACGGACCGCGUGUCCAACAUUUCUCAAUGGCCAGCUUGAAUAUUGGCAAAAUGUUCCAUAUCUCCAUUCUACCUUGACUUUUGUCUGUCGAGUUACUUCGUUCCUCCUCUGACUUUAUUGAAAUAUAGUGAGUCAAAUAUAAUGUACCCUUGCAUCCAAAUCUGGCACUACAUAACAAGUCAAUAAAAGCAGAAAAUACCGUAUGCAUAUUAAGGUGUGAAAGGAGUCUCUAAAAAGCUUCGUAGCCAUCAUAGCUUAGCGAGACUAAUCGCGCUUGCGAGAGAGCAUCGAGUGGGUUUACUUUAAGCUGCGAGUGCACAAGUGGGUUACUUUAAGCAGCGAGUGGGCUGGUAUUCUUGUAGAUGGGGGAGCCGUACCUUAUAAUCAAAAAGAAGGAUGUUGUGGCGUCAGAUGAUUGAGAAAGCAUCCGAGUAGAGCUUAGUUGUGACACCGGACGAGUUGAUAAAUACACACUGGUUAUGAAGGAACUAGCCGUGAAGGUGGGUGGGUUCCCGAGCAAUCAUCAUACGAAAACGAAAACCGCGUUUGGUGCUUGCGCGCGUGAGAUGAGAUCCAGUAAGCUAUCUAUAUAUAGAGAGAGCCAGCUGGGUAGUUUUGCCUCAUUAGGGAGGAAAGAUGCGCAUGAAGAAGCAAGCGGGAUUAAGCAGAUGCGCUAAGAAUAGAUGAAGCAAAGAUGGAUCCGCGCUUAGGGCUAGGGCUGUUAUUGGUCGAACUCGUCUUCAACGUGUUGAGGCCAUACUAGAAAGAACCACGCCCACACCGCUGUAGCUCUAUGGCUAUAUAGACGCAAUAGGGCACUAAGAAUCCACUUGGAAUUAGUAGUUUCGGUUCAUAUCGGCAGGAAUGAGCCAUUCUGUAGUACGUAGUGGCGAGCUUUCAUUUCCGUUCAGUAAGUAGGGGAACGGCCGUAGUAGCUAGCGAAUCCACGUAGUAGUUGUGUUUUGUGUUCUAUCCAUUCUUUGGGUGUGAAAGAAACCAGAAAUGGAAUUGUAAGUAGCUUCAUAUAUAAUAAGAAAGUAAACAAACUAACAAGCAACGGAACUCGCUAACGUGAGGGGUGCUUAUUUCUAUUUUGCUGUUCUUUCAGAGUUUAGGUCCUAUUACUCUGGAGACUCUUAAGCCAUUGAUGUCUGGAAACCUUAUUGUUGGCUUCUGGUCUUUCUAAAGAAGGCAAGCCUCGUGGUAGUCCCGAGAUUAAGUACUCCCGCAGGCCGAGCCCCCUUCUUCUAUACCGGAAAGCCUCUAACCCUUACCACUGCUUCUUGCUUUUCCAAUCCCUAUUUCUAUUAUAUCUCUAUAUAUAUAUUAUUUCAGAUAGAUUUCUACUUCCUGCCUUUUCCAAUCCCUAUUUUGUCCAUUCUAUUUCUGUAUUAUGAGAGAGGUGAUUGAUAGAUUCUUUCUUUGACCACUGAUAUGCGAAUGAUGCAUAAUUCUUUUCGUUCGCAUCGGAGGAGUUGCAAGCCGAUCUACCUUAUGCUUAUGUCUGGAUAGAGAAUUGGAUUAUGGCUCCGCUUUUCUUGACUAUCCCGCUUUUCAUUACUUUAGCAGGAUAAGAAGCAUUUCGGGAGUCAAUACCUCUCCUCUUCCUAUUCCCGAAGCUAGUAAGAGUAAUAAGGUCCCAACUCAGAGUGUUGUUCUUUUUUAUGAUAUCGAAGCAAUGUCGUAUCCAGCUCCGUUCUAGUAGCGGAAAGAGAGAUCGAGAUGUGAGAUUCCGGGAUGAGUGAAGAACACUAGCAGCUCAGCCGCCCUAACGGAAAAAGGACUUGGAAAAAGUUGCAGCGCCUGACGCUCUUAAUAGCCUAAAGUGAGCUAAAAGCGCUAAAGGAGUUUGGGCUUGCCCUAUGUUUCCAGUUGAUUUCUUAAUUCAAUGCGCUAGCAAGUUCUGUAUUCUGGCCCUAUGAAUAUCUUCUCUUAUUAGAAUGCGCUAGAUCGUACCCAAAGAGCCAAGUAACUACUAAUGACCAACCCACCACUACUAGGCAAAACGGGACCUAAUCAACUUGCCUUAUAAUGCAUUUAUGACUAGAAGAUUUAUGGUCGAAGAAAGGACUUGUACAGGGUUUGAUGCGGGGAAGUGGAGAAUUGCCUGUUCGAGGUAAAGUUUCAAGGAAAGGUGUUGUCGACUCUCAAUCGGGAAUAAGAUAAUAGUACUCGGGCUUGCUUUGAAGGGCAGAAGAAAGUAUAGGCUUAGUUUCUAGGUGUGAGUGAGCGAGAUACUUUUCGUUCCUAUGGUCUACUGCUUUAAGGGGCGAGGGAAAUCGUGAGAGAACAGUCUUCCUUCAUCUGCUGCAAUGAUUCUUUCCUAUGGAUAGAUACCAUCGGUGAACAAAUGAAAUGAUGGAUUUAGCUUAUUGAUUGAGAAUUACCUCUUACAGAUGCACAUAUAAAGGAAGAUAGAUCGCUUAUGUCUAGGUCGCCCCGCUCUCGCUUUGCUCUCCCCUUGACUUCUGUCGUUGGACUACGCGCACAGGAUCGGUUUCAAUAAUGGCUGGAUCAUUCUGCCGCUGAAAGAUCACUUAAUCACACACAAGCAAGAUGAAGUGCUAUUCCACCGGUGAGAAGAGAAGAACUGGUACUUUAUGCGAAUAUUGAAGAAGCGAGAACACACUCGUGAUAAGGGCGGAAUAAGGGUAGCGGUAAGUCUAGACUACUACUUUCAGGGGCCAAAAGCAGGUUCACUCAGGACUACUAUACUACCUUUUGUUUGGGAUUCCACAACUAAUGAAGGGGAGUUCGGUGUCGGAUCGGAGUGGGAAUGGGAAGUAGCUCCCAAGUCCUGUGUUUGGGAGUUAGGUUAGUUGGUAAAGAGAAAAGAUGCUGUUCUAGACUCAACUCGCCCCCCUUCCGGCUUGGCACAGCUGAAAUUCCUUUACUAUAUGAUUUCUUUUCUUUUGCCCACCUCGACUCUUGCAACUAAUACCUCCUCGCCUCUUGCAACUAGCUAAUCUAACCCCUUAACUUUAAGCUCUUGAUGAAGAUACCUCGCAAGUUAAGAUAGUAUGACCUGUGCUCUGAACCAACCCAGUACACUUUCUUUACCACCUCUCCUCUGUAAACUAAUGCCAAACAGGUCACCAACGUAGGUAAGGGCUAAGUAUUUGAUAUAACACUAGCAAACUGACUAUACGGGCCCGAACAGGAUUGAUUGUCUCUCUCGAAGCCAACUACUAGAGCAGCUCUCUCCUCUGUAAACUAUUCAAAGAAUGAGGCUCUGUUACUUGGCCCCUACUAAAUGAUAGAUUCUCUUUAUAUAUGAGAUCUUUAUAUAUGAGAACUUCUUCUAGGAAAAUGGAUAAGUAAGAUCAACUACUAGGUGGGUAAGGCUCGUAAGCUAUGAAAGUCUAGUUAUUGCCCCUGAAAGGAGUAGUCCAAAGAGUAGAGGAAAGUUUACUUCCAGCCUAACUAUUGAACUCAGUAGUCAAAGAACCAAGACACCAAUAUUGGAAGAAAAAACAAUCAAUGAUCAAAACCAGAAAUCAAGAAUAUCAGAAUAAAGAAUUCCACCACAGUAUACACAUAGUAGGGGAAAAUAUAUAUCACUUUAUUAAGGAAACUAGAUUCCACUCAGCGGUGGGUAAGAAUUCUACUCUUAAGUAGGAGCCAAGCAGAUGCAAGCGGUAAGGGAGUUCAUUCAGCAAGUAAGAAGGGCGAGCUACUAUAGAGGAUCCAAUGAAGCAAGUCAGAGUUGCACUCAGUAGUCAAAGCACCCGAAACAAGACUGGAAGUGAAGAAGUUCAGAGCAGAUAUAAUAAGUGGCACAGGAACUAGUUAGAGGCUUUGAAGCGGGAAGAAAAGAAAAGACCCAUACUUAAGGGGGAGCAGCCCUGCCGCGCAACUUACUAUGUUGCUUGGUGGACUUGUUCAUAAGGAGAGGGAACCAUGUUUAUAGCACCGGGUCAACUAGGAGGUCAGUCUUAUUGUUAGGUAUCUUAGUUUAGUUGUUAGUGGUUUCAGUCGAGGUGGGCAAGGUCAGAAACAGAAUCAGGGUAAGGGGAGUCGGAACAAGAUCUGAAGCCGGGUGCUCGAUUUCGUAUGCAAGGAAAGAAAGUCAAUAAUGAGUUCAAAGAGACAGCUCUAAAGUGAAUGGUUAUAGUCUUCAGACCGGGAGUACUGUGGCGUAGUAGUACUGUUGCAUCAGUAGUAGGUAGUAGCCAUAGGAUAGGUAGGCAAGCUAGAACAUCUAUUUCCUCCCCUGGUAAGUACUGUUAGAGUGUUAGUGUAAUCCCGGUAGUCCAGGUAGUACGAGUUGACAGAGGAGACCCCCCUAGCUCCUGUUCGAAAGUGUAGUAGGCCUAUUCGCCAGUGAGAAAGAGAGAAGCAACAGAGAGAAUAGUUAGAAGUUGCCAUAGCUCGUGGAGUCAUAGGUAAUAGUCAGCAUCCCGUAUUGGUUCAACCAGUAAGCAUCUAGUAUUGGUAUGAACUCUAAGGUCUCGAUUCCCCACAUCUAGGUACUCAGUUCAUUCUUUGCCAGUAGUUUAGAGUUGCUAGUUUGAUUCUGAUUAUAUGUAAACUAACCACUCCAGAAAUGAAGUAUGUAGGGUUCAACCUGAAUUCUUCUCCUAGUGAAGUCAACUCUAUUCUCUACCUUUCUUACCUUGAGCAAGUCUAUAAGUAACAAGUACUAUCGGUAUUCAACUCAAACUAACUAACUUGUAAUACUCAUCUAACUCAGGCAAUAGGGUGCUUAAUACUAAGAUAGUAAAUGAAGAGGGGCACUGGUAUCAGGCUUAGAUGCCCUGGGGUUAAGGCUGUUACUGACCGGUUUCAGGCUUAGCCCCUACCUUACACAACUCUAAACUCCCCUCUCUGACAAGGAUAAGAACAAGUAGGAAAUUCCAUAAGCAAUAAGUGGUAUGGUCUGCCCUGUAUUAUAGGAGAAAACGGAAUUAGAAGCUCUCUUAGGUGGACUUCUCCAGCUUCUGUAUCAAAGUAGGAAUUACUGAAUUUCACUAACAACUAGUAAUAAGUCAUUUAAGAAUUCCACAAAUAAGUCACAGAAUUGACCUCCUUCUCGCCAAACUCCCUUUGACAUAGAUGCUUGCCCGGCCUGGCCUCUACUUAGUCAACUCCAUUCUUAUUGUCUGCCUACCUCAACUCAAGCUUUCAUUAUAUAUUAGGCCCGCUCUUGCUUCUGUUGUAACUACUGAUUCUCGGGUUACUCCUGACUCCGCCUUCUCUUGGGAGUCCUGUCUUCAUGGCGGUACAACAGGGCACAGGAAUAGUUGAAAAGACUCUCACUUUAUAUACCGAUCUUUGCUUCACUGGCUUGGGCUUAUACUCCUUACUUCCGUCCUUACUUAUGCGUAUGCGCUUUAGGCUGCUACUGCUUCAUCUAGGUCUACCGCUCCCUGCUGAUAAAGUCAGUCUGUCGUUCCCUUAGCUUGGUCUACCUCUCUUUGUUUUGAGUAUUACUUUCCUUACUAGAAUUCUUUACUUGCAUAUUCAAUCUUUCGGGCAGGAAUCCGACUACUCACCAAUAAGACUUACCCCACUCACCGGGGGAAUACGAAUACUACUAUGGAAUACAGUAACCUAUGGAAAUACUAAUACCACCAAUAAGAGUUGAGCUUGGAACUAAGACUUGCACUAUUGAUCCGGGGAUCCUUACUUAUGAGGUUUAAGACCUUACCCUGUCUUUUAUUCUUUCACUGCAGGAACCAAGGCAGCCCCGUUGUCCACUUCAUUAUUGUAUUGAUAGCGUGAGUAUGCCACUAUAGGAACAUGAUCCGGAUGCCCACUACUGAAAUUGAUAUGUGUUUUUUCAUAUGAUAUUCAAUAGUCGUUUUCGUAUAGUAACUAGGUCGAAAAGGGUGACUUUUUCUUCUCUUUUUGGAGCCAAACAACUUCUCUUUUUCUAUUGGACUGGACGAUAGAGCUCUAGUUCCGGCUUCACUGAAGGAUAGGCGGGCCAGCAAUAUGGGCAAGUAGUUUACCAAGGAUACAAGAUGCCGGGAACCAGUAAUAGAAUAAAAGUAAGUGAAGCAAGAUCCGAGGGUAAUAGGCGAAGGCCGGGAAGGCGAGACAUACAUUCACAUUAUGAGGGCAGCUUUAGCUGCCAGCGAAUCCAAGUAAUUAGUAAAAGACUUUAGUGUGCUAGGGAGGGAAUUCCACUCUUAAGUAAGAUACAUUGGACUGGGAAUUAAUAAUGGAACUAGGACUUCUCAGAACCAGCACCCCAGAAUACAGAAUAUACUUACGCCACUGAUUGAUGAGAAUCGAAACACCCGCCUAGCCUAGCAAGACCAAGAAAGUAGGGUCUAAUUAAGAGUAAGCCUGUUUGACUGCAGCUAUAUUAUAAAAAGCAGUAGAUCAAUUCUCUGUUUCGAGUUAAGGUCUCGCCAGAACCUAGAACUAAAACUACCUGGCAAAGACAACUGCAAUAAAAAACAACAUAUAGUAUAUUUAUGUAGAGUUCUCACUUUAGAUGUGUUCGGCCAGUCAGUAAGUCGCCGUAGAGUAUAAAGGGCCCUUUACUGACUCCAAGGCUACCUUGCCUAUCUAUUACUCUUGGACUUAUUACUUCGAUUCUUCUAACACCAACUAUAGGCCUUCUCCCCUUCCAGUACUUGCAUUAUUUAUUGAUAGCUCUAGUCUGCUACUCCUCUGUCCCAGGCUUGCCUUACUUUAUCUAAGACUUACUUGUUUGACUCUAUUACUUCACUCAAUAAUCAUUGUUAGUCGAGUGGUUGUUUGGCGUUUAGUAGUGACUUUACCUGUCCUCGAUUCGUUAUUUUGUUUCCAAGGCUCUAACCAAUACAACUCGGCCUUAUACCCCAAACGGAGAAGCCAACUACAGCUCAUAGGGCUUUCAACCUCAACUAGGAGCCCUACUACUAAUAUCAGACCGGAGCUACUGGUUCUAAUACAAUAUCUGGGAAUAAAUCAACUUUCAGCAAUACUACUCGGACCUUCCCUAAAAUCUGACUUGCAAACUUCGACUCCGCUCUUGCAUUCUAUGAUUGUAGCUUCAAUCUCCUUUGCGCGGAUUGCUAGGAACUACUGGCCCGGGUAUGACAUGACUUUCUCUUUAUAGAAUAUAUAGGAUUGAACUGGCGCUAACAGGACAAUAACUAGAACCUGGGACCUCCUAGUAAGCAGGAACCAAACAACUAUACCGGAGAAUUUCGCUAAUAAGUAUAGGAUCUAAGUGGAAACAAAGGUGCUACUUAUACUUAAAUGAACAACUGGGGAUCGAACACUGCCUAGCAAGACUCUCACUAUUGCUUUUAGAGUACAACCACUAGCGAUAAGAGUUGCCCCCACUAAUUAGACUCCUUUAUCCUGUUAUGUUGCUAGUACCCUUCAUUCUAUAUUCGUAGCUUCAAACUUCUACUAGUAGCUCUUGACCUGGCAUUCCUUGGUUCUUAUGCUCCUCGGUGAAACCAUUGCUUCCGUGUUUUAGUAUGUAUUACUUCCCUUUCUUUCGUUCUGAAACUCAAUACUUGCAUCCUAUCUCCUAUGUUCGAUUGUCGGCCUACUACCAACUUACUCCUAUCGGAAUCAAACUAGGAAAUCCACUCGGUGAGCUCAACCCGGGCCAAGCAAAUAAUACUAAAUGAACUAAACUCAAAAAGGGGCCAGAAUAUUAAUGACACUACAAACAAGACUCUCGCAGCUGGCUUCCACGAAGAAAUAAAAGAAUACAGAAUUGGCUACUUAUUCCACAUGGCAUAUUUCCUAGAUACAAUACAGAGUAGCGGUAUUUACUUAAGCCUUCCUUUCAGUCCCUUGUGCCCGAGUUGGUGUCUAGCACCUUUCCUAAUAAUAAUGAAUUGGAUCACUGCUCCCUUGUCUAUGUGCCUCACGCUACUUACGGAAAUUAUGUAUUAUCACUUUUGCUCUUCUACUACUAGCUACCAGAUUGAACCGUGCCUAACAGACACCAGUGUGCUCUCUAAGACGACUUUCGCCCCGGCUAAUCAGAACAACGUCAAUUGUCAUAGGGAAUAGGAACAGUUACAACGAGACUUUACUGGCGGAUACAGAAUUCUACUUGUAACUAUAGGGCUGAUACUGCCGAUAGAAAGAUGGAAAAAGGAAAACAGGAAUCCAAUUGACUACUCCGCCAACUCACUCUUACUUUAAUGCCUAUAAGCCUGGCGCGCUACUGACUUCGAAGCUGACCUUAACGAACCAUACCCAUAAACUCCAUUCUGUAUUUCAAGAUUCAGUAUUACAGGACCCCUGGCACACCCUUUGACUAAUGAAUUGGAUUUUUGCUUUCCAACUGCCAACUAAUGGUUUCUCGUUCUUGAGCUACCGGCUUGGAUUCUGUAACUGGAAUACUGGGUAUUGUAUUUCACUAUUACAAAGUAGAACUGAGCUACUACUGAUUAGACUGCUCCACCACUAUAUCAAUGUUUAAACACAUUAUUAUUAAGUCAAUGAAAUAAGGCAUUGAAGAAAUCCAAUAUAGAUUCAAGUAAGUAAGGGAAGGCUAACUGGCAGAAGGGGCAGACGCAGACUCGGAUAAUAUGCAAUAAGUAUGGCAUGUCGGGGGGAGACAUUAAUAAGGCUUGGGCUACUCAGCGCCAUUCUUAGAUUGGUGAAUUGACUUCUGUAAGUCAGGUUUUGUUCCAUAGUAAGUUGAAUCUCUUAGAGCGCUGUUCUACUCUUUGACUACUCGGUUUCAUUAGAACUUUACUACUUGAAAGAGAUAUUCUAUGGUGGAUUUACAACUUUACAGAAAUAGGCAUAGGUGGGCGAGAAAGAGUUCCUACUCUAGUUCUGGUUCGAGUUAUCUUCUUAUAGUGGGUAGUGGAAUUUCUAUUGGGUAGUUUCAUAGUAUUCUUUGCUUGUAUAGUAGUUACUCGUCGUCUUGGUGGUCUUAUUUUGACUAGUUGAAAUACCGGGUUAGAGUUAAAGCUAUUAGGCUACGUUCUUUUACUGCCUUCCUUGAUUCUAAGUUAGAGUUAAGGUCCCAUCCGUACUAGCCAGCAGCUGACGCUGCCCUCUCCUUAUUAAGAGCAUAGUUCUCUAGGCGCCGCCGCUUUGUAAUUCCUUAUUUGAAGACCGGAUCAGCUGUUAAAGAACGAAAGCAAAGAGAUAUGGAUGUCGUGUCCGAGUAGUUGGAAUCAAAGUAAAGGUAGCUAGACUUAAAGCAAGUAAGGAAAGGCUCACUUCUGACCUGAACUAAGUAAUGUUAUGUUAGUCGCAGUUGGAUUCCUGCUUGAUAGAUUCGGUCUUGGAAGUAAGUGCGAAAGCCUGUUAGAGUAGCUUGCCUCUUGUUGUCAGUAGAUUGAUUCCUCAUUAAUAGAGAGAUUACCCACCUAGGAGAGAAGCCUUGUAAGCACUAGUAGAAUUCCCUAUAUGGAGUUAUCGUAGUAUAAGCCUAUGAGCCCGACACCCAUUCUGACCUUCCCUGCCUGAAAUCUAGAACUAUCCAUUUGCAAACUGACAUUGCUUGAUCUUAUUCUGACUAUCCGAUAUCCGAUUCUGACUCGCUAGGUUGAGUAUCCUUCCUGGGCUAUCAACAACAUAAUUGGAAGAAAACCACCACCAACAGGACUUCCGCUCAUACUACUUUGAUUUAUACCUGGGCCAGCAAUACCUCAAUUCUUGACUACUCUCUUAGGAAACCAGUUGUUUGUCUCGUCUUCUCAUUCUUUAGUUAAUGAUCGAUCCGUUUUACUUACUUCAAAGCUAAGCUGGCUUUCCUUUAUUUACUCCGAUACUAGUACCGAUUAGACUUUCGCUAUUGAUCUCAAAGCUUGCUCCACUGGCUAUGUGCCUCCCCUUCCCUUCCCAAACUCUGACUCCUAUGACCUUCAAUACCUGUGUUAGAGCAUCAGCCUGUAGCAACUGCCUAAAAGUCUGGAAGUUAGUCCCUUCCUACUAGCUCCCUAGGCGCUCUGACUUGAACUCCCUUCUUGCUGUACAUGCUUUCAAUCUUAUAUUCCUUUCUCUUGGCCUGUGACUCAUACCUUGUUCUCCGCCUAUGAAGCCUUACCUCAGCUAUUUAUCUACUGAAUCGGAUCCAGCUUAACACUAUCCUUCUGUGCUUCCAUUCCCGGGCUUCCACCUGUCACCUGUCAUUCUUUAUUCACUCAUUAGGGCUUAGACCUAGGCCUGUCCUGUUAUUCCUAUACUAUAUAAAUAAGUAAAAGAGUGAACCUACCUCUCGCCCACCUACGCACCCCUCCCUAUGAAAAGUAGGAAAUACACCUAUACGCCUAUGCCCCACCAACGAAUGAAACAAAGAAGUCAGACACUCCCCACCCACUAACUCGGGCUAACACACCGCUAACCGACUUGAACUAGUGGGCAAGCAACGUACAAUCAACGUACAACUAAGUAAGAGCCAAAACAAGUAACAACUAGUCAAGCACGGAACGAGACCAACCCUACUCUACUAUAUUGCAUUGCGUGUAUCAAGGGUAGAGGUUUGAUAUUCUAAAUCAGAAUGAAAUCAAUUACUUUAGAGUUAAUCCUAUGUGUUUAGCCUGGAAAUGCAUCUAGAAAUGUAUAAGUAGAAGAUCGAAGCGGAAACAUCAGAAGUUCACUCAGAAGUAAGGAUACCUCUGUCUAAGUAGACCAAUAAUAAUAUAGCGUACACAUAAUCAGAAUUGAGGCUUAACUACUUAACUUAGGGCCGAUGUAAUUGAGCCAACACCAAUGAGACUAUAGCCCAGAACUUGUACUUCCCUUACUGCCAUAUAAAGCGGCCCUGCUCCACGCAAGAUAAGGCUAACUGCCCUCACCUUAAAACUGCAUUUCAUCUUCGAUUCUUAUAAUGUAAACAAAACUCUGGUCUAUCAGACUCACUACCUAUUCACUAAGUCUCCCUUUUCUAUAUCUCCUUCUGUUACGGGACCCACCUAGUGCAUCUAACAAUAGAUUAUAGCUCUACCCUUACUUGCUAGAGAACUCAGCUUACUACUAAAGGAAUGACUUCUAUUUAUAAGAGAACAACUUGAAAGUCAUAUUGACUUGACCACCAACAAGACUGACUUUACUAGCGGGUAAAUCCACUGCUGCUAACAGGGCUUUUGUUAACUGCUAUCAGAGUACUACGACUACCAAUACUGGAACUGGAACCGGGAAUCCAACACCCCAGUCUAAUACCUGGAACAAUAAAGAAAGAAAUCCAUUAGUGCUUCUCAGAACGUAGCUACUGCCUAUGAAAGAAAGCCUACUGCCACUAAAGAGCUUGAAGUCCUUGGCCACCUUCUAUGGUUCUUCAACUAACUAAAAACCAAGAAAAGAACAAAGAAAUUGUACUCGGGGAGAUGUAUAGAGACUACUCCAGCCGGUAUAUAGGGCAAUACUCACUACCAAGAGCAAACAAAGCUUUAAAGCAGUAAUAGCUUGCAAGGUAGACAGGAGCUGCAUCGCAGUACACGAGUACAUACACAUUAACGCUCACGGGGGUGUAGAACAAAUGUGCUCCAACCAUCUUGCAGAGGGGGAAGUCGCUCAUACCGAGGGAGAUAGCCUAUCACUCUUAGAAUUCGCCUACGUACCUCUAAUAAGCACCAAACGGAUGAAACUCAACCUAACCUAGCGCUUCUAAGCCAACAACAAGAACAG
This 22838-nucleotide long non-coding RNA is filed under the name Musa acuminata (dwarf banana). RNAcentral describes it as "long non-coding RNA (MACU_LNC007429)". Lineage: Eukaryota; Viridiplantae; Streptophyta; Magnoliopsida; Zingiberales; Musaceae. The record is from RNAcentral.